GGGGAAUAUUGGGCAAUGGGCGCAAGCCUGACCCAGCAACGCCGCGUAUAGGAUGAAGGUUUUCGGAUUGUAAACUAUUGUCAUUAGGGAAGAUAAAAGACAGUACCUAAGGAGGAAGCUCCGGCUAACUACGUGCCAGCAGCCGCGGUAAUACGUAGGGAGCAAGCGUUAUCCGGAUUUAUUGGGUGUAAAGGGUGCGUAGACGGGAGAUUAAGUUAGUUGUGAAAGCCCUCGGCUUAACUGAGGAAUUGCAACUAAAACUGGUUUCUUGAGUGCAGGAGAGGUAAGUGGAAUUCCUAGUGUAGCGGUGAAAUGCGUAGAUAUUAGGAGGAACACCAGUGGCGAAGGCGACUUACUGGACUGUAACUGACGUUGAGGCACGAAAGUGUGGGGAGCAAACAGGAUUAGAUACCCUGGUAGU
This 421-nucleotide ribosomal RNA is filed under the name uncultured Acetivibrio sp. RNAcentral's name for it is "bacterial SSU rRNA". It matches the Rfam family "Bacterial small subunit ribosomal RNA", at positions 356 to 794 of the family's 1533-position model. Lineage: Bacteria; Bacillati; Bacillota; Clostridia; Acetivibrionales; Acetivibrionaceae. The record is from RNAcentral.